GUUCCCGUAGCUCAGUCGGAUAGAGCGACAGUUUGCGGAACUGUAGGCCGCGUGUUCGAAUCCUCUCGGGAACG
Molecule: non-coding RNA, 74 nt
Organism: Microgenomates bacterium 39_6
Lineage: Bacteria; Candidatus Microgenomatota
Source: Rfam